UACGUAGGGUGCAAGCGUUGAUCGGAAUUACUGGGCGUAAAGCGCACGUAGGCGGCUUUGUAAGUUAGAGGUGAAAGCCCGGGGCUCAACCCCGGAACUGCCUUUAAGACUGCAUCGCUUGAAUCCAGGAGAGGUGAGUGGAAUUCCGAGUGUAGAGGUGAAAUUCGUAGAUAUUCGGAAGAACACCAGUGGCGAAGGCGGCUCACUGGACUGGUAUUGACGCUGAGGUGCGAAAGCGUGGGGAGCAAACAGG
RNAcentral lists this ribosomal RNA (253 nucleotides) under uncultured bacterium. RNAcentral describes it as "partial 16S ribosomal RNA". It matches the Rfam family "Bacterial small subunit ribosomal RNA", at positions 524 to 776 of the family's 1533-position model. The record is from RNAcentral.